RNAcentral lists this ribosomal RNA (443 nucleotides) under uncultured bacterium. RNAcentral's name for it is "partial 16S ribosomal RNA". It matches the Rfam family "Bacterial small subunit ribosomal RNA", at positions 338 to 795 of the family's 1533-position model. The record is from RNAcentral.
CCUACGGGCGGCAGCAGUGGGGAAUAUUGGACAAUGGGGGGAACCCUGAUCCAGCGACGCCGCGUGAGUGAAGAAGUAUUUCGGUAUGUAAAGCUCUAUCAGCAGGGAAGAAAGAAAUGACGGUACCUGACUAAGAAGCCCCGGCUAACUACGUGCCAGCAGCCGCGGUAAUACGUAGGGGGCAAGCGUUAUCCGGAUUUACUGGGUGUAAAGGGAGCGUAGGCGGCGAUGCAAGUCUGAAGUGAAAGGCGGGGGCCCAACCCCGGGACUGGUGUGGAAACUGUAGGGCUGGAGUGCAGGGAAGGUAGGUGGAAUUCCUAGUGUAGCGGUGAAAUGCGUAGAUAUUAGGAGGAACACCAGUGGCGAAGGCAGCUUGCUGGACUGUAACUGACGUUGAGGCUCGAAAGCGUGGGGAGCGAACAGGAUUAGAUACCCGAGUAGUC